AGAAAGCGGAAUUGGUAGACGUGCUGGUCUCAAACACCAGUUCCAUUACACCGAGGGUUCGAGUCCCUUCCUUUCUG
RNAcentral lists this transfer RNA (77 nucleotides) under Chryseobacterium oryctis. RNAcentral describes it as "tRNA-Leu". It matches the Rfam family "tRNA". Rfam says of the family: Transfer RNA (tRNA) molecules are approximately 80 nucleotides in length. Their secondary structure includes four short double-helical elements and three loops (D, anti-codon, and T loops). Further hydrogen bonds mediate the characteristic L-shaped molecular structure. tRNAs have two regions of fundamental functional importance: the anti-codon, which is responsible for specific mRNA codon recognition, and the 3' end, to which the tRNAs corresponding amino acid is attached (by aminoacyl-tRNA synthetases). tRNAs cope with the degeneracy of the genetic code in two manners: having more than one tRNA (with a specific anti-codon) for a particular amino acid; and 'wobble' base-pairing, i.e. permitting non-standard base-pairing at the 3rd anti-codon position. The record is from RNAcentral. Lineage: Bacteria; Pseudomonadati; Bacteroidota; Flavobacteriia; Flavobacteriales; Weeksellaceae.